Molecule: non-coding RNA, 73 nt
Organism: Trichonephila clavipes
Lineage: Eukaryota; Metazoa; Arthropoda; Arachnida; Araneae; Nephilidae
Source: the annotation of a GenBank genome assembly
GUUCUUGUAGAGCAAUGGAUAGCGCGUUGAACUCCCGAUCCAAAGGUCAUGGACUCAAAUCCCACCUUGAAUA